RNAcentral lists this long non-coding RNA (212 nucleotides) under Setaria viridis. RNAcentral's name for it is "long non-coding RNA (SVIR_LNC001308)". Lineage: Eukaryota; Viridiplantae; Streptophyta; Magnoliopsida; Poales; Poaceae. The record is from RNAcentral.
GAAUAUUCAUGGUUUAGUAAUCAUAACUUCAUGGCUUGUUUCUUUAAUAAGUCUUGAGUAAAGAACAAUCAAUAUUAAAUUUUAUUAAUACAAGUGUUCUGGACUCUUUUGUUGGGAAAGUAUACAGCAAGAGGAAGAAGGCGCCAACAGCCUCUAGUGGCUGAGUAGGUGCCCGAUUGAUUUAGUUUGUUAGCUAGGUCAGUAGUUUGUUA